GACGUAGGAUGCAAGCGUUGUCCGGAAUUAUUGGGCGUAAAGAGUUCGUAGGCGGUGGUCUAAGUCUGAUGUUAAAUACUGGUGCUCAACGCCAGCAUGGCAUUGGAAACUGGGCUGCUAGAGUGCGGUAGAGGUCAGGGGAAUUCCAGGUGUAGCGGUGAAAUGCGUAGAUAUCUGGAGGAACACCGGUGGCGAAAGCGCCUGACUGGGCCGUAACUGACGCUGAGGAACGAAAGCCAGGGUAGCAAAAGGG
Molecule: ribosomal RNA, 253 nt
Filed under: uncultured Vampirovibrio sp.
Lineage: Bacteria; Bacillati; Candidatus Melainabacteria; Vampirovibriophyceae; Vampirovibrionales; Vampirovibrionaceae
Description: partial 16S ribosomal RNA
Rfam family: Bacterial small subunit ribosomal RNA
Source: RNAcentral